Molecule: long non-coding RNA, 212 nt
Organism: Etheostoma spectabile (orangethroat darter)
Lineage: Eukaryota; Metazoa; Chordata; Actinopteri; Perciformes; Percidae
Exons: 2
Source: RefSeq, a predicted model, not a curated record
AUCCUUCUCUUCCUAUGUGUUGCAGCAUUAGUAGUAGCAGCAUUUUGUUAUCAUCAAAAGAAAGGACAAGAUACAAGAGAGAUCCGGGAGAAUACAGUAUAUGAAGUUCCUCAGGUGAGCAUCAAGUUUUUUUCUGACACACUGAGGAACACAAUUUCAAUAAUAUAUACCAGUUUGAGGAUAAUGGCAAAGUAAAAAAAAGUUUUUUAAAU